This 440-nucleotide ribosomal RNA is filed under the name uncultured bacterium. RNAcentral describes it as "partial 16S ribosomal RNA". It matches the Rfam family "Bacterial small subunit ribosomal RNA", at positions 338 to 795 of the family's 1533-position model. The record is from RNAcentral.
CCUACGGGAGGCAGCAGUGGGGAAUAUUGCACAAUGGGGGGAACCCUGAUGCAGCGACGCCGCGUGAGUGAAGAAGUAUUUCGGUAUGUAAAGCUCUAUCAGCAGGGAAGAAAAUGACGGUACCUGAAUAAGAAGCCCCGGCUAACUACGUGCCAGCAGCCGCGGUAAUACGUAGGGGGCAAGCGUUAUCCGGAUUUACUGGGUGUAAAGGGAGCGCAGACGGCUGUGCAAGGCUGGAGUGAAAGGCGGGGGCCCAACCCCCGGACUGCUCUGGAAACUGUAAAGCUGGAGUGCAGGAGAGGUGAGCGGAAUUCCUAGUGUAGCGGUGAAAUGCGUAGAUAUUAGGAGGAACACCAGUGGCGAAGGCGGCUUACUGGACUGCAACUGACGUUGAGGCUCGAAAGCGUGGGGAGCAAACAGGAUUAGAUACCCCAGUAGUC